CACAUGCAAGUCGAGCGGAGACAGUGAGUAGCUUGCUAUGAGCUGUUUUAGCGGCGGACGGGUGAGUAACGCGUGAGCAACCUUUCCCAGACAGGGGAAUAACACACCGAAAGGUGUACUAAUACCGCAUAAGACCACGGGAUCACAUGGUUCUGGGGUAAAAGAUUUAUCGGUUUGGGGUGGGCUCGCGUCCGAUUAGGUAGUUGGUGAGGUAACGGCCCACCAAGCCGACGAUCGGUAGCCGACCUGAGAGGGUGAUCGGCCACAUUGGGACUGAGACACGGCCCAAACUCCUACGGGAGGCAGCAGUGGGGAAUAUUGGGCAAUGGGGGGAACCCUGACCCAGCAACGCCGCGUGGAGGAAGAAGGUUUUCGGAUCGUAAACUCCUGUCCUUGGAGACGAGUAGAAGACGGUAUCCAAGGAGGAAGCCCCGGCUAACUACGUGCCAGCAGCCGCGGUAAUACGUAGGGGGCAAGCGUUGUCCGGAAUAAUUGGGCGUAAAGGGCGCGUAGGCGGCUCGGUAAGUCUGGAGUGAAAGUCCUGCUUUUAAGGUGGGAAUUGCUUUGGAUACUGUCGGGCUUGAGUGCAGGAGAGGUUAGUGGAAUUCCCAGUGUAGCGGUGAAAUGCGUAGAGAUUGGGAGGAACACCAGUGGCGAAGGCGACUAACUGGACUGUAACUGACGCUGAGGCGCGAAAGUGUGGGGAGCAAACAGGAUUAGAUACCCUGGUAGUCCACACUGUAAACGAUGAAUGCUAGGUGUAGGGGGUAUCGACCCCUUCUGUGCCGCAGUCAACACAAUAAGCAUUCCGCCUGGGGAGUACGGCCGCAAGGUUGAAACUCAAAGGAAUUGACGGGGGCCCGCACAAGCAGCGGAGCAUGUGGUUUAAUUCG
RNAcentral lists this ribosomal RNA (893 nucleotides) under uncultured bacterium. RNAcentral's name for it is "bacterial SSU rRNA". It matches the Rfam family "Bacterial small subunit ribosomal RNA", at positions 52 to 953 of the family's 1533-position model. The record is from RNAcentral.